UACGAACGCUGGCGGCGUGCUUAACACAUGCAAGUCGAACGGAAAGGCCCUGCUUUUGUGGGGUGCUCGAGUGGCGAACGGGUGAGUAACACGUGAGUAACCUGCCCUUGACUUUGGGAUAACUUCAGGAAACUGGGGCUAAUACCGGAUAGGAGCUCCUGCUGCAUGGUGGUGGUUGGAAAGUUUCGGCGGUUGGGGAUGGACUCGGGGCUUAUCAGCUUGUUGGGGGGGUAGUGGCUUACCAAGGCUUUGACGGGUAGCCGGCCUGGGAGGGUGACCGGCCACCUUGGGACUGCGAUACGGACCAGACUCCUACGGGAGGCAGCAGUGGGGAAUAUUGCACAGUGGGCGGAAGCCUGAUGCAGCAACGCCGCGUGCGGGAUGACGGCCUUCGGGUUGUAAACCGCUUUCGCCUGUGACGAAGCGUGAGUGACGGUAAUGGGUAAAGAAGCACCGGCUAACUACGUG
This 468-nucleotide ribosomal RNA is filed under the name uncultured bacterium. RNAcentral's name for it is "partial 16S ribosomal RNA". It matches the Rfam family "Bacterial small subunit ribosomal RNA", at positions 29 to 507 of the family's 1533-position model. The record is from RNAcentral.